RNAcentral lists this ribosomal RNA (601 nucleotides) under uncultured bacterium. RNAcentral's name for it is "bacterial SSU rRNA". It matches the Rfam family "Bacterial small subunit ribosomal RNA", at positions 44 to 596 of the family's 1533-position model. The record is from RNAcentral.
CGGCUAACACAUGACAGUCUGAGAGGGCAGCAUGGUCUUAGCUUGCUAAGGCUGAUGGCUGACCGGCGCACGCGGUUGAGUAACACGUAUCCAACCUGCCGUCUACUCUUGCGCCAGCUCUUCUGAACAGUGAAGAUUACACUCCGAGAGAUGGUGAUCAUGAGCUUCACAGUGUCCGCAUGAUUAAACGGUAUUGUUCCGGUAGAUCGAUAGGGCGAUGCGUUCGCCCUGUGAUCAUACGAUACGAGCGGUGGAUACACGGCCCACACCUAGUUCAAGCGAUGUGCAUAGUGGGCUAUCUGAUGAGAGAAGUGUCCCCCAGCCAUUGGAACUGAAGACCACUGAUUCCAAACUCUCAUACGGGAGGCAGCAGUGAGGAAUAUUGGUCAAUGGGCGAUGGCCUGAACCAGCCAAGUAGCGUGAAGGAUGACUGCCCUAUGGGUUGUAAACUUCUUUUAUAAAGGAAUAAAGUCGGGUAUGCAUACCCGUUUGCAUGUACUUUAUGAAUAAGGAUCGGCUAACUCCGUGCCAGCAGCCGCGGAGCGUUAUCCGGAUUUAUUGGGUUUAAAGGGAGCGUAGAUGGAUGUUUAAGUCAGUUGUG